Molecule: ribosomal RNA, 253 nt
Filed under: uncultured bacterium
Lineage: Bacteria
Description: partial 16S ribosomal RNA
Rfam family: Bacterial small subunit ribosomal RNA
Source: RNAcentral
UACAGAGGCCUCGAGCGUUAGGCGGAAUCACUGGGCUUAAAGCGUGUGUAGGCGGACUGGUAAGUACCUUGUGAAAUCCCACAGCUUAACUGUGGAACUGCUCGGUAUACUGCUGGUCUUGAGCCACUCAGGGGCUACCGGAACAAAUGGUGGAGCGGUGAAAUGCGUAGAUAUCAUUUGGAACGCCAAUGGUGAAAACAGGUAGCUGGGGGUGUGCUGACGCUGAGACACGAAAGCCAGGGGAGCAAACGGG